CCGUGCGAAGGUAGCAUAAUCACUUGUUCUCUAAAUGGGGACUUGUAUCAACGGCAUCACGAGGGUUACACUGUCUCCUUUCUCCAAUCAGUGAAACUGAUCUCCCCGUGAAGAAGCGGGGAUAAGAAUAUAAGACGAGAAGACCCCAUGGAGCUUUAAGCUCAACAACACCUCUACAAUAUACCUCCUCUUAAACUACGAGACCUGUCUGUUAGCUUUAGGUUGGGGUGACCGCGGAGUAUAAUAUAACCUCCACGACUGACGGGACUAACCCCUUAUCCAAGAGCCACUGCUCUAAGAAUCAUUAAUUUGAUGUAAAAUGAUCCGUUCUUCGAUCAACGAACCAAGUUACCCUGGGGAUAACAGCGCAAUCUACUUCAAGAGCUCCUAUCGACAAGUAGGUUUACGACCUCGAUGUUGGAUCAGGGUAUCCUAGUGGUGCAGCCGCUACUAAAGGUUCGUUUGUUCAACGAUUAAAACCCUACGUGAU
This 490-nucleotide ribosomal RNA is filed under the name Arthroleptella landdrosia (Landdros moss frog). RNAcentral describes it as "partial 16S ribosomal RNA". It matches the Rfam family "Bacterial large subunit ribosomal RNA", at positions 1946 to 2604 of the family's 2925-position model. The record is from RNAcentral. Lineage: Eukaryota; Metazoa; Chordata; Amphibia; Anura; Pyxicephalidae.